UGGGGAAUAUUGGACAAUGGGCGCAAGCCUGAUCCAGCCAUGCCGCGUGAGUGAUGAAGGCCCUAGGGUUGUAAAGCUCUUUCACCGGUGAAGAUAAUGACGGUAACCGGAGAAGAAGCCCCGGCUAACUUCGUGCCAGCAGCCGCGGUAAUACGAAGGGGGCUAGCGUUGUUCGGAUUUACUGGGCGUAAAGCGCACGUAGGCGGACUUUUAAGUCAGGGGUGAAAUCCCGGGGCUCAACCCCGGAACUGCCUUUGAUACUGGAAGUCUUGAGUAUGGUAGAGGUGAGUGGAAUUCCGAGUGUAGAGGUGAAAUUCGUAGAUAUUCGGAGGAACACCAGUGGCGAAGGCGGCUCACUGGACCAUUACUGACGCUGAGGUGCGAAAAGCGUGGGGAGCAAAACAGGAUUAGAUACCCUGGUAGUCCACGCCGUAAAACGAUGAAUGUUAGCCGUUGGGGAGUUUACUCUUCGGUGGCGCAGCUAACGCAUUAAACAUUCCGCCU
RNAcentral lists this ribosomal RNA (504 nucleotides) under uncultured bacterium. RNAcentral's name for it is "partial 16S ribosomal RNA". It matches the Rfam family "Bacterial small subunit ribosomal RNA", at positions 355 to 874 of the family's 1533-position model. The record is from RNAcentral.